RNAcentral lists this ribosomal RNA (446 nucleotides) under uncultured bacterium. RNAcentral's name for it is "partial 16S ribosomal RNA". It matches the Rfam family "Bacterial small subunit ribosomal RNA", at positions 338 to 795 of the family's 1533-position model. The record is from RNAcentral.
CCUACGGGGGGCAGCAGUCGAGAAUCAUUCACAAUGAGGGAAACCCUGAUGGUGCGACGCCGCGUGGGGGAAUGAAGGUCUUCGGAUUGUAAACCCCUGUCAUGUGGGAGCAAAUUAAAAAGAUAGUACCACAAGAGAAAGAGACGGCUAACUCUGGGCCAGCAGCCGCGGUAAUACAGAGGUCUCAAGCGUUGUUCGGAAUCACUGGGCGUAAAGCGUGCGUAGGCUGUUUCGUAAGUCGUGUGUGAAAGGCGCGGGCUCAACCCGCGGACGGCAUAUGAUACUGCGAGACUAGAGUAAGGGAGGGGGAACCGGAAUUCGCGGUGGAGCAGUGAAAUGCGUAGAUAUAGAGAGGAACACUCGGGGCGAAGGCGGGUUCCUGGACAUUAACUGACGCUGAGGCACGAAGGCCAGGGGAGCGAAAGGGAUUAGAUACCCGGGUAGUC